Long non-coding RNA from Pogoniulus pusillus (Red-fronted tinkerbird), 2971 nucleotides. RefSeq lists it as uncharacterized. The record is from RefSeq and is a predicted model, not a curated record. NCBI's taxonomy places the organism in Eukaryota, Metazoa, Chordata, Aves, Piciformes, Lybiidae. The transcript is spliced from 3 exons.
CCGCUCCGCUGCCAGCUCCCAGCGCCCCUCUCCGGCUGCUUCCUCCGCAGCACUCUCCAACGGGGCCGCCGACCACGCCCCCCGCGCUGAUUGGUCAAGGGCCGAGCGCAGCCUCCCAUUGGCUGCGGAGCGCCUCGCGCCCCACCCGCUCCCGCCCCCGCGGCCAGCCCCUCCCCGCCCCUCCCUCCCGCGCUCCGCCCGCUCCGCGCAGCGCCCCUGGGGGCUGCAGUGCUGCCGGUGCCUGGCACCGCCUCGGGCUGCAGCCAGCCCCGGCCCGGCCCCGCUGCGCCUGAGGCGGGCAUGUUAUCAAUUGAGAAUGACUCAAAAUCCAAGUGUCCAGGUUACAAAUUGAUUCCAUUAGGCAAGUAGAAUAUGAGCAAAGUCACAGCGCUGGACGACAGGGGAGUCACCGCUCCGCCACCUGCCGUGACAAGUCUCUUCAUUAGCCUAUAUUUAUACUGUGUUGUCUGCGUUGUUCCACCCUGCAAAUUACAUAAACCCAUCCUUUCUGCGCAUGUUCCUUCGUUUGGGUUAGGGUCUGCCUUCCCUUCUGGUGGUCGUUGAGGAUGAAGUAAGCAGUCCUCCUCAGGUGUCCUCUGGUUCACCCGUCUCCAAAUAUGGACUUCCUUUGGCUGGUUAAUGUCCCGAAUCCCACUUCUCAAAAUUAAAGCUUAGUCCUUGGAACAUGACUGAUUAAUGUCCGAGCCCACAUGUGGCCUGUUCUCUCUUAGCUCAAAAUUAAGGAUGCACCUAAAGUUUUAGUCUUUGAAAUACUCAGCAAUUAGCUAGCUUAUUCUUUGCACAUUACCAUCUCUAGCAUGACCUCUCGGUUAGGCACAUCUCCUGAUUUGCAACAGCUGUAUAUACACUGCCGUUUGCAGCUAAGCAUGCUUAACAUUCUAUUCAAAUGUUUCUUUAUUGAAUAAUUACAAUUACCUAUUACAAUUCUAUUAAAAUGUUUCUUUAUUAAACAAUUACAAUCACCUAUUACAGGCAGAGCCUGCGGCCCCAGCGCCGUGCGGCCGAGAGAGCCCAGCCCAGGGCCCGGGGCGUGCUGAGCGGCUCGGGGCCCCGCACGGUGCCAGCCGCGGCCGUGGCUGCCCUCACAGCAGGCCUGAAUGGCAGCUGCGGCACUCAGCGGCUGCUGACGGCUCUGGCCCCAGGGAGACCCCACGGCCUCAGGCUCCCUCAUUAGCGUAACCCGCCCUUAAUUACCGGGGCUGGGGAAACGGUUUGGUGCAAGGGCUGAGCUCCCCCAGCUGCCUCUGCUGCCUUCAGUCUCUUACCAGGAGACAGGAAAGGGAGGGGAGCCAAGGCAGAGGCUGCAGGGGACUGGCACCGAGCGAGGCUCAGGGCUCAGGGCUGGCACUCUCCUGGCAGCAGCAGAUGAGAGCAGUGCUGAGCCCGGGCCCUUUUCUGGCUCCUCUCCCUGCCACCCCACGGCUGCUCUGGGAGUAUCUACCUGGCUCCACCUGCAGCACUGCCUCCAGUGCUGCUGUGCCCGGCCCAGGGAGGAGCUGGAACUGCUGAGAGGGUCCAGAGGAGGCCACCAGGGAAACACCUGUCUCUUGUGUACUGGAGAAGGAAUGGUGUGUGUGCCAUCCUGUGCUGGCUUUGCUGCCAUCCUCAGCAUCCUCCACUGGAAGGUCAGGAGUGCUGUGCUCUGCCCAGAGUGCAGCUUGUCUGAUCUGAACAGACCAGUGAUCUCCUCAGCUGUGCUCCUGAGAGGGAAGUUCUUCAUUAUCCACAGAGAAGUUUUCUUGUAAUCAUGGUUCUGCUGUUUCUUCAGGUGCCUGAAUCUGUGUGCUCCCACUUGUAUUUUGUUCACAGCAACCUUAACAUCUUUCUUAGAGCUCUUUGGGAUGUGCAGGCAGCAGUGCAUGCAGUGAGAUGUGUGCAAGCUGCUGCAGCAAGACAAGACCAGCAGCAGUGCUAAGAAGGAAUGCAGUGAGCAGUGCUGCCAGGCUUUUCUCUUUGAGGAACAUUUGUGUCUCCCACCUGAUGCUAUCAUAGAUUUGAAGAUGUGAAUGGACACUUCUGCCAUCACUGCUGCACUCUGGCACUGCGAUAGCUUCACAUUCCCCUUUCCCACCCCAAGUUUCCUUCCAUGGUCACACAACCAUGCAGAGCACAAUAUCAGACCCAGUCAUUGGGCACAGAUGAAAAAGCAAGCAGCAAAUUUCUUGGUGGAUUGUUUCCCUUCCUGUCAGAUCAACAUCAACCAACUCUCUGUAUCUGUGCAGUUGAUGCAUCUGGAACAGAGUGGGAACACACAGCUGGGAGCUAGGCAGGAGCAGCUUUCAGCUUGAUGAAACUGAACUGACAACAUUUAGCUCAUGCUAACCAUGAUUAUUAGUGUCAGCUGCUCAGCAAAGAGAGCUUGUCCAAAACAUGGUCAGAGAAUUUUGGUUCUCAGAAUGGACUUUGCAAGGUAUCAGCUCAGGCUGGCAAUGGAAACAAUUUCUGUUCUGUUCUAUGAACACUUCCCCUUCCCUUUGCCAAGGACAGGUCUUACACUGUGUGCUAGUUUGAACCUAGCUGGGAUAUUUUGGUGAGAAGAAUUAGAUGCUAGGCUGUGAAAAGGGAGCAGUGGUGAUGUCUGCUGGACUCAGGCUUGCUGAGAUGGACAAAAACAAGAACACAAAUGUAGAUAACAGAGUUGCUUUCUGUCUCUUGGGGCUGCAUGAACUUCUCUCUAACCUAACUUGCUGCCUGACUAAUCCUUCUGCUUCCUAACCCCCCUGGCUGAGCCUCCAAACUCACCCUUGAACGUAAGGCAAAGUCUGAGAUAAGGCAGAGGGGUGGACAGGAGAAGGAAGGGUGGUUGGGAGCCUAUCCAGGGCACUCUGGUUUCUGGGAGGGCUGCUGUGUUUCUGUACUACUGGUUCAUGUGUGAAGUUCAGUAUCUAUUGUACAUACCUGCUUGUGUACUGUGCUGAGCUGUAACUAUAAAGCUUCAUUCCAUUUCCAA